Molecule: ribosomal RNA, 411 nt
Filed under: Verrucomicrobiota bacterium
Lineage: Bacteria; Pseudomonadati; Verrucomicrobiota
Description: Verrucomicrobia bacterium partial 16S ribosomal RNA
Rfam family: Bacterial small subunit ribosomal RNA
Source: RNAcentral
UGGGGAAUAUUGCGCAAUGGGGGAAACCCUGACGCAGCGACGCCGCGUGCGGGAUGAAGGCCUUCGGGUUGUAAACCGCUUUUGAUUGGGAGCAAGCUUUCGGGUGAGUGUACCUUUCGAAUAAGCGCCGGCUAACUACGUGCCAGCAGCCGCGGUAAUACGUAGGGCGCAAGCGUUAUCCGGAAUUAUUGGGCGUAAAGCGCGCGCAGGUGGUUUAGAAAGUCUGAUGUGAAAGCCCACGGCUCAACCGUGGAGGGUCAUUGGAAACUAAUAAACUUGAGUGCAGGAGAGAAAAGUGGAAUUCCUAGUGUAGCGGUGAAAUGCGUAGAGAUUAGGAGGAACACCGGUGGCGAAAGCGGCUUUUUGGCCUGCAACUGACACUGAGGCGCGAAAGCGUGGGGAGCAAACAGG